ACCUGUGGUUCAAGCUAGAUAAUCCAUCUGAAGCUAAGCUGGUUUGAACCUGGUUUGUAUUUGGAUGGGAGACCAGCUAGGGAAGCUGAGUUGCUGCUGGAU
RNAcentral lists this ribosomal RNA (102 nucleotides) under Paramormyrops kingsleyae. Lineage: Eukaryota; Metazoa; Chordata; Actinopteri; Osteoglossiformes; Mormyridae. The record is from RNAcentral.